RNAcentral lists this non-coding RNA (97 nucleotides) under Gordonia polyisoprenivorans. RNAcentral describes it as "TPP sequence". It matches the Rfam family "TPP riboswitch aptamer (THI element)". Rfam says of the family: Vitamin B(1) in its active form thiamin pyrophosphate (TPP) is an essential coenzyme that is synthesised by coupling of pyrimidine and thiazole moieties in bacteria. The previously detected thiamin-regulatory element, thi box was extended, resulting in a new, highly conserved RNA secondary structure, the THI element, which is widely distributed in eubacteria and also occurs in some archaea. Analysis of operon structures identified a large number of new candidate thiamin-regulated genes, mostly transporters, in various prokaryotic organisms. RNAcentral also lists the same sequence under 1 other name. Lineage: Bacteria; Bacillati; Actinomycetota; Actinomycetes; Mycobacteriales; Gordoniaceae. The record is from RNAcentral.
CAUUCGGACACGGGGUGCCGGCAGUCGGUCGGCUGAGAUCAGACCCGUCGAACCUGCCCCAGUUCGCACUGGCGAAGGGAUGAUCAUGUCUGGCGCA